ACUCCUACGGGAGGCAGCAGUGGGGAAUUUUGGACAAUGGGCGAAAGCCUGAUCCAGCAAUGCCGCGUGAGUGAAGAAGGCCUUCGGGUUGUAAAGCUCUUUUGUCAGGGAAGAAACGGUGAAAGCUAAUAUCUUUUGCUAAUGACGGUACCUGAAGAAUAAGCACCGGCUAACUACGUGCCAGCAGCCGCGGUAAUACGUAGGGUGCAAGCGUUAAUCGGAAUUACUGGGCGUAAAGCGUGCGCAGGCGGUUUUGUAAGUCUGAUGUGAAAUCCCCGGGCUCAACCUGGGAAUUGCAUUGGAGACUGCAAGGCUAGAAUCUGGCAGAGGGGGGUAGAAUUCCACGUGUAGCAGUGAAAUGCGUAGAUAUGUGGAGGAACACCGAUGGAGAAGGCAGCCCCCUGGGUCAAGAUUGACGCUCAUGCACGAAAGCGUGGGGAGCAAACAGGAUUAGAUACCCCGGUAGUCCC
This 470-nucleotide ribosomal RNA is filed under the name uncultured organism. RNAcentral's name for it is "partial 16S ribosomal RNA". It matches the Rfam family "Bacterial small subunit ribosomal RNA", at positions 335 to 797 of the family's 1533-position model. The record is from RNAcentral.